GGGAUUGUGGCUUAGUGGUAGAGCACUUGCCUAGCGUGUGUGAGGCACUGGGUUCAAGUCUCAGCACCCCA
This 71-nucleotide transfer RNA is filed under the name Ictidomys tridecemlineatus (thirteen-lined ground squirrel). RNAcentral describes it as "Spermophilus tridecemlineatus (thirteen-lined ground squirrel) tRNA". It matches the Rfam family "tRNA". Rfam says of the family: Transfer RNA (tRNA) molecules are approximately 80 nucleotides in length. Their secondary structure includes four short double-helical elements and three loops (D, anti-codon, and T loops). Lineage: Eukaryota; Metazoa; Chordata; Mammalia; Rodentia; Sciuridae. The record is from Rfam by way of RNAcentral.